CCCUUGGGGGUCCAGUGGCUAAGACUCUGUGCUCCCAAUGCAGUGGGCCCAAGUUCGAUCCCUGGUCAGGGAA
Molecule: transfer RNA, 73 nt
Filed under: Bos taurus (domestic cattle)
Lineage: Eukaryota; Metazoa; Chordata; Mammalia; Artiodactyla; Bovidae
Also listed under: 1 other name
Rfam family: tRNA
About the family: Transfer RNA (tRNA) molecules are approximately 80 nucleotides in length. Their secondary structure includes four short double-helical elements and three loops (D, anti-codon, and T loops).
Source: Rfam by way of RNAcentral